GAGUGGUUAGCUCAGCGGUUAGAGCGACGAGCCUAAUGAACUCGGCGGCCAGGGGUUCGAUCCCCCUACCACUCG
This 75-nucleotide transfer RNA is filed under the name Allobosea sp. RAC05. RNAcentral describes it as "Bosea sp. RAC05 tRNA". It matches the Rfam family "tRNA". From Rfam's summary of the family: Transfer RNA (tRNA) molecules are approximately 80 nucleotides in length. Their secondary structure includes four short double-helical elements and three loops (D, anti-codon, and T loops). Further hydrogen bonds mediate the characteristic L-shaped molecular structure. tRNAs have two regions of fundamental functional importance: the anti-codon, which is responsible for specific mRNA codon recognition, and the 3' end, to which the tRNAs corresponding amino acid is attached (by aminoacyl-tRNA synthetases). tRNAs cope with the degeneracy of the genetic code in two manners: having more than one tRNA (with a specific anti-codon) for a particular amino acid; and 'wobble' base-pairing, i.e. permitting non-standard base-pairing at the 3rd anti-codon position. Lineage: Bacteria; Pseudomonadati; Pseudomonadota; Alphaproteobacteria; Hyphomicrobiales; Alloboseaceae. The record is from Rfam by way of RNAcentral.